Molecule: transfer RNA, 73 nt
Filed under: Actinomycetota bacterium
Lineage: Bacteria; Bacillati; Actinomycetota
Description: Actinobacteria bacterium (freshwater metagenome) tRNA-Lys
Rfam family: tRNA
About the family: Transfer RNA (tRNA) molecules are approximately 80 nucleotides in length. Their secondary structure includes four short double-helical elements and three loops (D, anti-codon, and T loops). Further hydrogen bonds mediate the characteristic L-shaped molecular structure. tRNAs have two regions of fundamental functional importance: the anti-codon, which is responsible for specific mRNA codon recognition, and the 3' end, to which the tRNAs corresponding amino acid is attached (by aminoacyl-tRNA synthetases). tRNAs cope with the degeneracy of the genetic code in two manners: having more than one tRNA (with a specific anti-codon) for a particular amino acid; and 'wobble' base-pairing, i.e. permitting non-standard base-pairing at the 3rd anti-codon position.
Source: RNAcentral
GGGCCGGUAGCUCAGGCGGUAGAGCAACGGACUUUUAAUCCGCUGGUCGUGGGUUCGAUUCCCACCCGGCCUA